This 467-nucleotide ribosomal RNA is filed under the name uncultured bacterium. RNAcentral's name for it is "partial 16S ribosomal RNA". It matches the Rfam family "Bacterial small subunit ribosomal RNA", at positions 28 to 506 of the family's 1533-position model. The record is from RNAcentral.
GACGAACGCUGGCGGCGUGCUUAACACAUGCAAGUCGAACGGUGAAGCUCCAGCUUGCUGGAGUGGAUCAGUGGCGAACGGGUGAGUAACACGUGAGCAACCUGCCCCUGACUCUGGAAUAAGCGCUGGAAACGGCGUCUAAUACUGGAUAUGAGAAGGGUCCGCAUGGACACUUUCUGGAAAGUUUUUCGGUUGGGGAUGGGCUCGCGGCCUAUCAGCUUGUUGGUGAGGUAAUGGCUCACCAAGGCGACGACGGGUAGCCGGCCUGAGAGGGCGACCGGCCACACUGGGACUGAGACACGGCCCAGACGCCUACGGGAGGCAACGGUGGGGAAUAUUGCACAAUGGGCGAAAGCCUGAUGCAGCGACGCCGGGUGAGGGAUGACGGCCUUCGGGUUGUAAACCUCUUUCAGCAGGGAAGAAGCGAAAGGGACGGUACCUGCAGAAGAAGCACCGGCUAACUACGU